GAUGAAGAACGUAGCGAAAUGCGAUAAGUAAUGUGAAUUGCAGAAUUCAGUGAAUCAUCGAAUCUUUGAACGCACAUUGCGCCCCUUGGUAUUCCGAGGGGCAUGCCUGUUCGAGCGUCAUUAUAACCCCUCAAGCUCAGCUUGGUGUUGGGGCCUGCUGCACUGGCAGCCCUUAAAAUCAGUGGCGGCGCCAUCUGGCUCUAAGCGUAGUAAUUCUUCUCGCUAUGGAGUCCUGGUGGAUGCUUGCCAUCAACCCCCAAUUUUUCUAUGGUUGACCUCGGAACAGGUAGGGAUACCCGCUGAACUUAAGCAUAUCAAUAAGCGGAGGA
Molecule: unclassified non-coding RNA, 329 nt
Filed under: soil metagenome
Description: partial contains 5.8S ribosomal RNA, internal transcribed spacer 2, and large subunit ribosomal RNA
Rfam family: 5.8S ribosomal RNA (bases 1-120)
Source: RNAcentral